RNAcentral lists this ribosomal RNA (232 nucleotides) under uncultured bacterium. RNAcentral's name for it is "partial 16S ribosomal RNA". It matches the Rfam family "Bacterial small subunit ribosomal RNA", at positions 103 to 334 of the family's 1533-position model. The record is from RNAcentral.
CGGGUGAGUAUCACGUGAGAAACCUGCCCCGAAGACCGGGAUAGCCCGGGGAAACCCGGAUUAAUACCGGAUAUUCCCUACAGAUCGCAUGGUCUGUUGAGGAAAUGCCUUUGUGCUUCGGGAUGGUCUCGCGACCUAUCAGCUAGUUGGUGAGGUAAUGGCUCACCAAGGCAACGACGGGUAGCUGGUCUGAGAGGACGAUCAGCCACACUGGGACUGAGACACGGCCCAG